GGAGCGAGUAGGCCUUGUUUUGAAGCUCAGAUGCCUAAAAAUCCUAAAAACAUCACCAACUACAAGUUUCACAAGGAGCUGGGAAAAGGAAGCUUCGGAAAGGUUAUGCUGGCGUCGCUUAACAACUGCAGAGAUCAAGUGGCAAUCAAAGUGAUUCGGAAGACUACGAGUGUAGAGGACAUCCUGACGGAGGCGCGCACUCUCAGAAUCACUGGAGCUUGUCCCUUUCUCUGCCAUGGAUAUGGAGCUUUCCAAACGCAGAUGCAUGCGUUUCUUAUAAUGGAGUUCAUGAGUGGAGGGACCCUGGAACAGCUUAUAAAAAAGAGAGGUUGCCUGAACAGGGACAUCAUACAAUUCUAUUCUGCAGAGAUGAUCAUCGGUCUACAGUAUCUGCAUUCAUGUGGUAUUGUGCACCGAGAUCUUAAACCACCAAACAUCUUACUGAGCGCCGAGGGGCACAUCAAGAUCAGUGAUUUCGGCCUAGCUGUAGAAGGGAUUUUCGGCAACAAGAAGAUGUACGAUCUAGUAGGGUCCUACCACUACAUGGCUCCAGAGAUUCAUCUGAUGAGUGGAUAUGACGCAGGAGUGGAUUGGUGGGCAUUUGCCAUUAUUCUGUGCCAAAUGGCCGCUAGAAGAUCUCCAUUCCACGAAGGCUUGACACUGCUCAACAUCAUCGAAUCAGUCACCUUGAAGCAGCCUUCCAUUCCAGAGGAUAUCAGCCCUGAUCUGAAAAGUCUGAUGCAGGAGCUCUUUGAGAAGAAUCCAGACAAGCGCCUGGGCACAUCGGGGGAUAUAAGGAAACACCUGUUUUAUAGAUCGGUUGACUGGGCAGCGUUGGAGAACAGGAAGAUUCCACCUCCUUUCAAGCCACAAUCUCAGGUCCUUUCUCCUUCAGUGCUGUGGCUGGAGGUAUAUUCUUGAAACGCCAAACCCCCAUCCCCUUAGCCAGACUAUGACAAAUGUGGUUGGUGCUUGGCUGGUUCUGUUCUGGGCAAGGCAGGAUACCGACUGUGGAUGUCAGUGCAGUCUGUGAAGAGCCCCUGUCAUUCGUAGAAGAGCCAGGCUGCAUCAACCCAUCAGGUGGUAUAAAAAUGAUUCAGGGUCUGUCAUUCCUGAGUCCCAGUUGGGAAAGAUCUGCUGGUCCCUUUUGCCUCCACCCUCUGCGCUCUCCACCUAGGGCCCCCGCCAUCGGCCCUCCUAUAUUCAGACCCCUGCCAUCAGCCUUCCCCACUUAUGCC
Molecule: RNA transcript, 1238 nt
Organism: Xenopus laevis (African clawed frog)
Lineage: Eukaryota; Metazoa; Chordata; Amphibia; Anura; Pipidae
Gene name: protein kinase C delta type-like
Exons: 9
Source: RefSeq, a predicted model, not a curated record